CAGGUGUAGCGUAUGAGAAGGGAAGAGAUGGGCUACAUUCACUAACAUAGUGAAUACGAAUAGUAUAUUGAAACAUAUACUUGAAGGAGGAUUUAGCAGUAAGCAGGAAAUAGAGUGUUCUGCUGAAGCCGGCUCUUAAGCGCGUACAUACCGCCCGUCACCCUCGCCAAGCCCUACCAAUUAUUUUUUCUAAAUCACUUAUAAAGCUAAGGAGAGGAAAGUCGUAACAUGGUAAGCGUACCGGAAGGUGUGCUUGGAUAAUC
Molecule: ribosomal RNA, 263 nt
Filed under: Coryphaena hippurus (common dolphinfish)
Lineage: Eukaryota; Metazoa; Chordata; Actinopteri; Carangiformes; Coryphaenidae
Description: partial 12S ribosomal RNA
Rfam family: Bacterial small subunit ribosomal RNA
Source: RNAcentral